RNAcentral lists this ribosomal RNA (591 nucleotides) under Discula destructiva. RNAcentral describes it as "LSU rRNA". It matches the Rfam family "Eukaryotic large subunit ribosomal RNA", at positions 13 to 629 of the family's 3401-position model. Lineage: Eukaryota; Fungi; Ascomycota; Sordariomycetes; Diaporthales; Gnomoniaceae. The record is from RNAcentral.
AGGUAGGAAUACCCGCUGAACUUAAGCAUAUCAAUAAGCGGAGGAAAAGAAACCAACAGGGAUUGCCCCAGUAACGGCGAGUAAGCGGCAACAGCUCAAAUUUGAAAUCUGGCUUCGGCCCGAGUUGUAAUUUGCAGAGGAUGUUUAUGGUGCGGUACCUUCCGAGUUCCCUGGAACGGGACGCCACAGAGGGUGAGAGCCCCGUCUGGUUGGAUACCAAACCUGUGUUAAACUCCUUCAACGAGUCGAGUAGUUUGGGAAUGCUGCUCUAAAUGGGAGGUAAAUCUCUUCUAAAGCUAAAUACCGGCCAGAGACCGAUAGCGCACAAGUAGAGUGAUCGAAAGAUGAAAAGCACCUUGAAAAGGGGGUUAAACAGUACGUGAAAUUGUUGAAAGGGAAGCGUUUAUGACCAGACUUGUGUCGUGUGGCUCAUCCGAGGUUCUCCCCGGUGCACUCCACACGGCUCAGGCCAACAUCGGUUCUCGUCGGGGGAUAAGAACAGUAGGAACGUGGCCCCCCUCGGGGGGUGUUAUAGCCUACUGUACGAUACCUUGAUGGGGACCGAGGACCGCGCUUCGGCUAGGAUGUUGG